GAAAUGCGAUAAGUAAUGUGAAUUGCAGAAUUCAGUGAAUCAUCGAAUCUUUGAACGCACCUUGCGCUCCUUGGUAUUCCUUGGAGCAUGCCUGUUUGAGUAUCAUGAAAUCUUCAAAGUAAAUCUUUUGUUAACUCAAUUGGUUUCUACUUUGGUAUUGGAGGUCUUUGCAGCUUCACACCUGCUCCUCUUCGUUCAUUAGCUGGAUCUCAGUGUUAUGCUUGGUUCCACUCGGCGUGAUAAGUUAUCUAUCGCUGAGGACACUGUAAAAGGUGGCCAAGGUAAAUGCAGAUGAACCGCUUCUAAUAGUCCAUUGACUUGGACAAUACUUUUAUGAUCUGAUCUCAAAUCAGGUAGGACUACCCGCUGAACUUAAGC
Molecule: unclassified non-coding RNA, 378 nt
Filed under: plant metagenome
Description: partial contains 5.8S ribosomal RNA, internal transcribed spacer 2, and large subunit ribosomal RNA
Rfam family: 5.8S ribosomal RNA (bases 1-105)
Source: RNAcentral